This 451-nucleotide ribosomal RNA is filed under the name uncultured bacterium. RNAcentral describes it as "bacterial SSU rRNA". It matches the Rfam family "Bacterial small subunit ribosomal RNA", at positions 62 to 508 of the family's 1533-position model. The record is from RNAcentral.
UCGAGCGGAUGACGGGAGCUUGCUCCUUGAUUCAGCGGCGGACGGGUGAGUAAUGCCUAGGAAUCUGCCUGGUAGUGGGGGACAACGUUUCGAAAGGAACGCUAAUACCGCAUACGUCCUACGGGAGAAAGCAGGGGACCUUUGGGCCUUGCGCUAUCAGAUGAGCCUAGGUCGGAUUAGCUAGUUGGUGGGGUAAUGGCUCACCAAGGCGACGAUCCGUAACUGGUCUGAGAGGAUGAUCAGUCACACUGGAACUGAGACACGGUCCAGACUCCUACGGGAGGCAGCAGUGGGGAAUAUUGGACAAUGGGCGAAAGCCUGAUCCAGCCAUGCCGCGUGUGUGAAGAAGGUCUUCGGAUUGUAAAGCACUUUAAGUUGGGAGGAAGGGCAGUAAGUUAAUACCUUGCUGUUUUGACGUUACCGACAGAAUAAGCACCGGCUAACUCUGUGC